Molecule: ribosomal RNA, 550 nt
Filed under: uncultured bacterium
Lineage: Bacteria
Description: bacterial SSU rRNA
Rfam family: Bacterial small subunit ribosomal RNA
Source: RNAcentral
UAGGGAAUCUUCCACAAUGGACGCAAGUCUGAUGGAGCAACGCCGCGUGAGUGAAGAAGGGUUUCGGCUCGUAAAGCUCUGUUGGUAGUGAAGAAAGAUAGAGGUAGUAACUGGCCUUUAUUUGACGGUAAUUACUUAGAAAGUCACGGCUAACUACGUGCCAGCAGCCGCGGUAAUACGUAGGAGGCAAGCGUUGUCCGGAUUUAUUGGGCGUAAAGCGAGUGCAGGCGGUUCAAUAAGUCUGAUGUGAAAGCCUUCGGCUCAACCGGAGAAUUGCAUCAGAAACUGUUGAACUUGAGUGCAGAAGAGGAGAGUGGAACUCCAUGUGUAGCGGUGGAAUGCGUAGAUAUAUGGAAGAACACCAGUGGCGAAGGCGGCUCUCUGGUCUGCAACUGACGCUGAGGCUCGAAAGCAUGGGUAGCGAACAGGAUUAGAUACCCUGGUAGUCCAUGCCGUAAACGAUGAGUGCUAAGUGUUGGGAGGUUUCCGCCUCUCAGUGCUGCAGCUAACGCAUUAAGCACUCCGCCUGGGGAGUACGACCGCAAGGUUG